CGUGGCGCACGGCUGAGUAACACGUGGCUAACCUACCCUCGGGAGGGGGAUAACCUCUCGGGAAACUGGGGCUAAUCCCCCAUAGGCGGGGAGGCCUGGAAGGGUUCCCCGCUGAAAAGGGGCACGGGGGGUUAUCGCCCGCGCUCCGCCCGAGGAUGGGGCUGCGGCCUAUCAGGUAGUUGGCGGGGUAACGGCCCGCCAAGCCGAAGACGGGUAGGGGCCGUGAGAGCGGGAGCCCCCAGAUGGGCACUGAGACAAGGGCCCAGGCCCUACGGGGCGCACCAGGCGCGAAAACUCCGCAAUGCGGGCAACCGUGACGGGGCUACCCCGAGUGCCCCCCUUGUGGGGGCUUUUCCCCGCUGUAAGGAGGCGGGGGAAUAAGCGGGGGGCAAGUCUGGUGUCAGCCGCCGCGGUAAUACCAGCCCCGCGAGUGGUCGGGGUGAUUAUUGGGCCUAAAGCGGCCGUAGCCGGCCCGGCAAGUCCCCCCUGAAAGCCUCGGGCUCAACCCGAGGAGCGGGGGGAUACUGCCGGGCUAGGGGGCGGGAGAGGCCGAGGGUACUCCCGGGGUAGGGGCGAAAUCCUAUAAUCCCGGGAGGACCACCAGUGGCGAAGGCGCUCGGCUGGAACGCGCCCGACGGUGAGGGCCGAAAGCCGGGGGAGCGAACCGGAUUAGAUACCCGGAGAGUCCCGGCUGUAAACGAUGCGGGCUAGGUGUUGGGCGGGCGAGAGAGCCCGCCCAGUGCCGCAGGGAAGCCGUUAAGCCCGCCGCCUGGGGAGUACGGCCGCAAGGCUGAAACUUAAAGGAAUUGGCGGGGGAGCACACAAGGGGUGGAGCCUGCGGCUUAAUUGGAGUCAACGCCGGGAAUCUUACCGGGGGCGACAGCAGGAUGACGGCCAGGUUAAAGGCCUUGCCUGACGCGCUGAGGGGAGGUGCAUGGCCGUCGCCAGCUCGUGCCGUGAGGUGUCCUGUUAAGUCAGGUAACGAGCGAGACCCCUGCCCCUAGUUGCAACCCUAGGGGUAGCCCUGGGGGCACACUAGGGGGACUGCCGCCGCUAAGGCGGAGGAAGGAGGGGGCCACGGCAGGUCAGCAUGCCCCUAAUCCCCCGGGCUGCACGCGGGCUACAAUGGCGGGGACAGCGGGUGUCGACCCCGAAAGGGGGAGGCAAUCCCUCAAACCCCGCCUCAGUUGGGAUCGAGGGCUGGAACUCGCCCUCGUGAACGUGGAAUCCCUAGUAACCGCGCGUCAACAUCGCGCGGUGAAUACGUCCCUGCUCCUUGCACACACUGCCCGUCGCUCCACCCGAGGGGGGCCUGGGUGAGGCCUCUGCCGCCGGGCGGGGACGAACC
This 1348-nucleotide ribosomal RNA is filed under the name uncultured archaeon. RNAcentral's name for it is "bacterial SSU rRNA". It matches the Rfam family "Archaeal small subunit ribosomal RNA". The record is from RNAcentral.